This 468-nucleotide ribosomal RNA is filed under the name uncultured bacterium. Its description in RNAcentral is "partial 16S ribosomal RNA". It matches the Rfam family "Bacterial small subunit ribosomal RNA", at positions 28 to 507 of the family's 1533-position model. The record is from RNAcentral.
GACGAACGCUGGCGGCGUGCUUAACACAUGCAAGUCGAACGGUGAAGCUCCAGCUUGCUGGAGUGGAUCAGUGGCGAACGGGUGAGUAACACGUGAGCAACCUGCCCCUGACUCUGGAAUAAGCUCUGGAAACGGCGUCUAAUACUGGAUACGAGAAGGGUCCGCAUGGGCACUUUCUGGAAAGUUUUUCGGUUGGGGAUGGGCUCGCGGCCUAUCAGCUUGUUGGUGAGGUAAUGGCUCACCAAGGCGACGACGGGUAGCCGGCCUGAGAGGGCGACCGGCCACAAUGGGACUGAGACACGGCCCAGACUCCUACGGGAGGCAGCAGUGGGGAAUAUUGCACAAUGGGCGAAAGCCUGAUGCAGCGACGCCGCGUGAGGGAUGACGGCCUUCGGGUUGUAAACCUCUUUCAGCAGGGAAGAAGCGAAAGUGACGGUACCUGCAGAAGAAGCACCGGCUAACUACGUG